GAUGAACGCUGGCGGCGUGCCUAAUACAUGCAAGUCGAGCGAGCGGACGAGAAGCUUGCUUCUCUGAUGUUAGCGGCGGACGGGUGAGUAACACGUGGAUAACCUACCUAUAAGGCUGGGAUAACUUCGGGAAACCGUAGCUAAUACCGGAUAAUAUUUUGAACCGCAUGGUUCAAAAGUGAAAGACGGUCUUGCUGUCACUUAUAGAUGGAUCCGCGCUGCAUUAGCUAGUUGGUAAGGUAACGGCUUACCAAGGCAACGAUGCAUAGCCGACCUGAGAGGGUGAUCGGCCACACUGGAACUGAGACACGGUCCAGACUCCUACGGGAGGCAGCAGUAGGGAAUCUUCCGCAAAGGGCGAAAGCCUGACGGAGCAACGCCGCGUGAGUGAUGAAGGUCUUCGGAUCGUAAAACUCUGUUAUUAGGGAAGAACAUAUGUGUAACUAACUGUGCACAUCUUGACGGUACCUAAUCAGAAAGCCACGGCUAACUACGUG
RNAcentral lists this ribosomal RNA (497 nucleotides) under uncultured bacterium. Its description in RNAcentral is "partial 16S ribosomal RNA". It matches the Rfam family "Bacterial small subunit ribosomal RNA", at positions 28 to 507 of the family's 1533-position model. The record is from RNAcentral.